This 487-nucleotide long non-coding RNA is filed under the name Spirodela polyrhiza (greater duckweed). RNAcentral describes it as "long non-coding RNA (SPOL_LNC002506)". Lineage: Eukaryota; Viridiplantae; Streptophyta; Magnoliopsida; Alismatales; Araceae. The record is from RNAcentral.
GGUAAUGGUGAAGGAAGUGAAGUUGCCUGGCCAGGAGAACAUCCCGGACGAGCUUUCUGCUUCCCAUUGGAAGAGCAAGAAUCUACGGCACGACCAGUGAAACCGUACGACACCCAGGGUUCCCGUGGACAGACGACAGGAAGAGAACCCUUCGCCGGGCACUGGAAAGUCGACGACGGCGGGAGAGAGUUCUUGAGGGGGGCAGAGAGAAACAAAGAGGUAAUUUGGAAAGCCGAGAGAGCGAGAGAGAGAGAGAGAGAGGAGGGUACGGUCCCNNNNNNNNNNNNNNNNNNNNAGGAACGACGAGAGAGCGAGAGAGAGAGAGAGAGAGGGUAGGCCCUUCUUCCCCCGAAGCCUCUGCACGGACGGACGGGCGGACCCAGGUCGGGAGAAAUAUCAACACCGAGAGACGAAUAUAUUUACGGAACGUGUCCUUAGGGCACCAUGGCUGAAGGAAUUCUUCUUGCCGAUGAGAGAGGAGCUACCA